AGCCCACUGGCUUCUCAGCGGUCACCUCUCUACCUCUGCCUCUCUCUGCCUGUGUCUCUCUCUCAGUGAGCGAACAUUCAGUCUCUCUCUUACUCUCUGAGUCGUCAGGUUGAAUUUCUCUCUUCUUUUUCCCUUGUUAUGACCCAUUUGAGGAGCACCUUCCAUAGAGACAGACACACCAAGAUGAACGGUGAGCUGAGAGCUGUUCGCACCACUACAGGCAAGAGAGGAAGCAGCGAUCAUGACAGUGAAGAUGGCAGAGCUUCUUGCCAUAAAGAGUGAGCUGACAGUGAUCAAGGUUCAGAUUGAUGGCCUGUUGGACUGCGUAGACAAGAUGGACAGACAGCGGAAGGACUGUUCAGAGUGUCCUCAGAGCAGGGAGUCCAGUGUGUUGAACUCUCCUCACCAAGGUUCAGUCUGCAGUGUGGAGAGAGAGAGUCCUGAACCAGGAGAGGCCAGUGCAGAUGAGUCACUGCACUACCAGGACUACUACCCCCACAGCUACUCCCACAGGCUACCCCAACAGGGCAAAUACUGUGUGUACCACUACAACCCCCAUGUGGCGAUUAUAUACCCAAUACCAUCAAAGUCAGGGGUUUAAAUGGGCUGGAGCCCACUGGCCUUGGCCUCCUGAUAUCACAGUCCUGCCAGAGUUUUUCACUGCAGCAUCACACAGCAGGACAAUCCUUGUUGUCUCCAAACUCAGAGAGACAAUUUACACAGGUGGCACAGCAGCAGCAGCUCCAUUAACUGUUUACACCUUGUGUCAUUGUGAUCUUACACAGCCAACCUAAAUGCCUUUCUGCAGAGCAAAUGCGCAGAUUCACAGUUUCUGAAGUAAAAUGAAACAAAGUGGAUGAACACAGCUCAGGAUACAUCCUACGCCAUCAGAGCUGACCAAACAACUUUUUUUUCAGCAAACAUUCAAAUAAUGUUUCCUUGAAAGAAUUUUUCUAAUGUAGGAAGUUUCAGUUUUGCAUUUUGUAACAGAAUGAUAUUUGCAGCAGUAGCUUAUUAUAUUACUGCAUGCAAUCAUCAAUUAAAUUCAAGCAACAGUUUUAAAAAAAAUUCAGGACUCCACGGUGCUUCAAAGAGGUCAAUGUUUUUUCUUCAAAUUUCUUUAAAAUGUUGCUUCAUCCAGUUUGCUAAGAUUACAGAGAACACGGUACAAUAUUCAAAUGAUUUGAAAUUUCACCAAUUCAAUGGAGAUGAAUGGAAUUUAGUUUUUUUAGUUUAAAGAAUAACAUUUCGAGGAUACAGCUGCAAUGUCUCUUUCCACAAGCAAUGCUCUCGUUACUUAAACUACAUUUACGGAACGCAGUUUUCACUAGAGUCCAGUACUUUCAAGCAAAGACGUGCCUAUUUCUACGGUCUUCAUUCUAGUUUUUGAGCCCCAGCCUUAUUGAAGCAGGUUCCCCUGAACACAGAUUAAUCUCGCAGCCUUCAGCUGU
Molecule: long non-coding RNA, 1451 nt
Organism: Amphiprion ocellaris (clown anemonefish)
Lineage: Eukaryota; Metazoa; Chordata; Actinopteri; Pomacentridae
Source: Ensembl